This 253-nucleotide ribosomal RNA is filed under the name bacterium. RNAcentral describes it as "partial 16S ribosomal RNA". It matches the Rfam family "Bacterial small subunit ribosomal RNA", at positions 524 to 776 of the family's 1533-position model. The record is from RNAcentral. RNAcentral also lists the same sequence under 4 other names.
UACGUAGGUGGCAAGCGUUGUCCGGAAUUAUUGGGCGUAAAGGGCGCGUAGGCGGUCCCUUAAGUCAGAUGUGAAAUCCCGAGGCUUAACCUCGGGCGUGCAUUUGAAACUGGGGGACUAGAGUGCAGGAGAGGUAAGUGGAAUUCCUAGUGUAGCGGUGAAAUGCGUAGAUAUUAGGAGGAACACCAGUGGCGAAGGCGACUUACUGGACUGUAACUGACGCUGAGGCGCGAAAGCGUGGGGAGCAAACAGG